This is a long non-coding RNA of Bos taurus (domestic cattle), 2090 nucleotides long. NCBI's taxonomy places the organism in Eukaryota, Metazoa, Chordata, Mammalia, Artiodactyla, Bovidae. The record is from Ensembl.
AGGAAGAUCCCCUGUAGUAGGAAAUAGCAACCUACUCCAGUAUUCUUGCCUGGAAAAUCCCAUGGACAGAGGAGCUAGGCGGGUUGCAGUCCAUGGGGUUGCAAAGAGUCGGACACAACCAGGCGACUAAGCAUAACGACAAGGAGUAACUUCAUUUUGGCUUUAGCAUCGCCAUCCGCCAAAUAGCUGUGAAGGAGCUGGGAAUCUUGUAUCUUCUGCCAACAUCCAUGGAAUUGUGACGAGCUAAUUUAUAGAUUCCUUGGUCACUGAAUUUCCUCCCAGAGGCUGCCCAGGAGAGAGUUGUAGUCUCCUGGUGGCCAUAGAGGGCAGAGAGAAGCCGAGGAAAGCAUCCAAUGGUCUCGUAUCUGCCAAGGCUCCAUGGAAACCACGUCUCAGCUCUGGGUGAGCAAACUAAUUUGGCUCUCCUUCCAGGCUUGGCCCUCUUCAUCAAAUGUCUACUUUGCCCAAGAUCACCCUUCAGCCUGAUAACACAGAAUAAGGCCACUGUCUGAUUGUCCCCGAGGCCUUUCAUUCAAAGCCAAGUCCACUGACAUUCUGCCUAACACCUCCCCCAAGGAAGGCCGCAGCUUUCUCUUCACGCCUUUGCAAAACGCAGAGCUCCCUCAUAGUCAAUGGCCUGCUAGAGCCGGGACGUUUCUGUGGGCUUCUCAUCAAUUACUUCUUAUUUUCCAGGUCGGAUACUCCCUCUGGAGCAAAAUUGAAAGCUGAACUGUGCUCAGAGACUCUGCUGGCAGUGAAAACACCAGAGUGCGAAGUGAAAAAUCUAUGAUCUCCCCACCACCUUCUCCGAUGAGUGGGCCUCACCGGCCACAGCAUGGAUUCAUUUGAGUGCUGUCUUCUCUUGGCAUUUUGGGUUGAGUUUUCCAGGACACAAAGGCAUGAGAUGUUCCAGGAUCUCGAUCAUUUUUAUGGCCAGUGGGGAGGUAGAUGAGAAUAAAUAAUUGGAUCCAGUGUCCUGUGGAACAAAUGAAAUGGGAAAAUGCUCACGGUCAAGUUCUGGUUCAAAGUGACUGGCUCUUAGAUACGCAAGAAAUUUGGCCUCCCUUAAAAUACGCAAUGAGGAUGGAGCCUCCAGGAUUGAGUCUUAAAAGUGAGUCUUUCACAGGUUUCAGGAAGCAUUCAGUGCUUCCCAUUACCACCCAGCACUCAAGAGACAGUGUCAUCUAAAAAUCUGAGUUACAAAGUAGGGGCUGAGAUUGGAAAUAAAAUACAUACAUGAGUUAUGCUAUGAUGAGGGGAUUCCUGGGUAAUUUUUUCCUUUUCUCUAUUUUCCUAGGUUCCUGUAUGCCAUUAAAAAAAAGACACAACCCCCUUUCCUUUUUAGAAAGUCAGCCAUGCAAACACCGAGUUAAAAUUUGGGCAUUCAUUCUUGAGGCCUUUCUUCUCCUUAAAUGCCUCAAUCCGUGCAUCCUCUCUUCUCUAUCUCCGCCUUCUGGCCCUUAGCGCAGGCAUUUGGGGCCAUUUCAGUGCUCUUUUGAGCACUGACAUCCUCCCCUACGUGGCUUCCCCAUGACUGGACUCUCUCUUCAUGCAGUCCACCCUCCAACGGCAGUCAGAGCAACUUUCUAAAAUAGAAACCCUGUCACGUCACAUUCCUGCUCAACCUCUUCAAUAGUUUUUCAUUGCCUCCAGGAGACAAUUUAAAUUCCUUUCCAUAACACCCGGGGCUCUUCAGAACGAAACCUGCCAAGCUCUUCCUUGCUCCUUCCCCAGCAGCUCUUCCCCCAACCACUGCUUCUUCAGGCCCCGGGGUCACUCAUUCCAGCCAAAAGCCUUUAUUCCAGCCAUUCCCUUUGCCUGAAAUGCCCCCACCUCCCACCAAUACAGCCUCCCAGGCUCCACAAAGCCCAAGCAUCCUACCCUUGUCCACCCAAGGAAACGCUGCUGGCCAUACACAUGGCCUUGACACUGACCCUGUCCAUGUCACAGCACUGCACACGGGGCUUUGGAGCUGUGCCCCCUGCAUUUGUCUCUCUUACUAGACUGUGGGCUCCAGAAGGGCAGGGACCUGGUUUGAUUUAUUUCUGGAUCCUCAGCACAUGGCUUCUGCAGCGCCCAGAGCAGGGGAG